UACGUAGUGAAAAUUUUAUGGGUGAAACCAAAAACAUGCUUGUUUUGCCAUAAACAUUUCGAGCAAAGGUUUCACACAGCGUCAAAUCAUCUGAAGAUUGGAGCUUACCCUACUUUAUUUUACGGAUCUGGGAGAUAUCCCCGGGAAGACCAUCAAUUGCCUCCAGAGAAAGAGAUAUAUUCAGUGACCACAGUUACUCAAGGAAGCGACACAUUGAUCACUCGUAUACACUACCUUAUGAGCAAAAACCUAAUAAAGGUGCACAAACUGAGGUUUCUGAUACAUAUGUCUUGCCUACAAUACCAGGUCAACUUGUGCCCGUUGCAUCAUCAAGUUCCGCACUGCACUAUGCAUCAGCCUCAAUAUGUAAAACACCACGAAAAGUAGUCAAAAGAAGGCUUAUUAAGAAUGUAAAGGCCUUAACACCGAGGUGCAAACUUUUAUACAAUGAACAUAAAAAGGUUAGAAACCAAAAAGAAUACAACACACAAGUCAAAAGGGCACUGACUGGCCUUCAGUAAAACUGAGUGUUUAGAAGAAGUUCUAAAUAAGAUGAACCCAUUGUCGAGAAAUGUUCUGUCAAUGCAAAUGAAACUUUACAUGAAAAAAAAGAUGGCCAGAAGGUUUACAACCGAAGAGAAACUUAUUGCUCUUUCAAUUUACAAGCAAGGUCCAAAAUGUUACAAGUUUCUCCAAAAGAUAUUCAUUUUGCCUUCAAAAUCAACUUUGAAGAACUUGAUAAGCCAACUAAAUAUUGGUGCUGGCAUAAAUCCACAAAUAUUCGACCUUAUAAAAAAUCAGGUAAAAAGCUGGGACAGCAAAAGAAGAUUGUGUACAGUGCUAUUUGAUGAAAUGUCACUAGAAACUGCUCUAACAUAUUCAAAUUACAAGGACGACAUUGUUGGAUUUGUUGAUUUAAAUGGAAAAACCAACAGCUUUAC
Long non-coding RNA from Hyposmocoma kahamanoa, 941 nucleotides. RefSeq lists it as uncharacterized. NCBI's taxonomy places the organism in Eukaryota, Metazoa, Arthropoda, Insecta, Lepidoptera, Cosmopterigidae. The record is from RefSeq and is a predicted model, not a curated record. The transcript is spliced from 5 exons.